UCUCUUUUCUCCCCGACGCCGCCCGAGCCAUCUCCUCCUCUCUGCCCUAACCGCCGGCCGGCGGUUCCUCCUCCCCGAGUGCACAAAACCCCUCGGCCACUUCUUAUUCUUGCUUCUUCUCGCCACUGCCGAAGCUUCUUCUUCUUCCUUGACUCUGAAUUGGCGCCGACUCCUCCUCCCCUUUGGGCUCGCGACGCCGCCGACCUAUCUCCUUUCUUCUUACCACCGGCCAAAGCCCGAGCAGUGCCGAUCAAGCCGCCGACCUCCUCUGUGCCGCGACGCUACUGCCUCCUCUUCUCCGAGCCUGAUCUCUGCCUAUCGACGCUGAGUUGUGCCCUAGCGCCGGCUGCCACCAUCACUGUGCCUGCCGACGCCGCUGUCUUUCGACCUCAGCGUCGACCUCCUCCACUUGACCGUGCCCUAGCUCCGAACCAAGUCUUCUUCCUCAGUUUUUCUAGUUGUUAUCGCCAGUGUAACUCUAGCCAGUAUUCAACAGCCGCUGGGACCAAUCGUCGAAGAAGGAACUGUUGAUUUGAGGAAACACAGGGUUCCCGGCAGCAACUUCGCUGUGACUUAGGCAACAAAUUUCCAGCAUCAAUAGGGGGCUUCAGAUUAAGGACUGUGACGCGAGACGAGUAUCUCGGAGUCAGAUUUGGACUUUUCUUAUCGGAG
This is a long non-coding RNA of Zingiber officinale, 672 nucleotides long. RefSeq lists it as uncharacterized. The transcript has 3 exons. The record is from RefSeq and is a predicted model, not a curated record. NCBI's taxonomy places the organism in Eukaryota, Viridiplantae, Streptophyta, Magnoliopsida, Zingiberales, Zingiberaceae.